Molecule: ribosomal RNA, 270 nt
Filed under: uncultured bacterium
Lineage: Bacteria
Description: partial 16S ribosomal RNA
Rfam family: Bacterial small subunit ribosomal RNA
Source: RNAcentral
AAUCAACGCUGGCGGCGUGCCUAACACAUGCAAGUCGAGCGCGAAAGGGGGGCAACCCCCAAGUAGAGCGGCGAACGGGUGAGUAACGCGUGGGUAAUUUGCCUUCGAGUGGGGAAUAACAGCGGGAAACUGCUGCUAAUACCGCAUGACAUUCCCGGGGCCUUCGGGUCUGGGAAUCAAAGCUGGGGACCGUAAGGCCUAGCGCUUGAAGAGAAGCCCGCGUCCGAUUAGCUAGUUGGCGGGGUAAUGGCCCACCAAGGCGACGAUCGG